GAGCGGUAGAGAGAAGCUUGCUUCUCUUGAGAGCGGCGGACGGGUGAGUAAUGCCUAGGAAUCUGCCUAGUGGUGGGGGAUAACGUUCGGAAACGGACGCUAAUACCGCAUACGUCCUACGGGAGAAAGCGGGGGACCUUCGGGCCUCGCGCCAUUAGAUGAGCCUAGGUCGGAUUAGCUAGUUGGUGAGGUAACGGCUCACCAAGGCGACGAUCCGUAACUGGUCUGAGAGGAUGAUCAGUCACACUGGAACUGAGACACGGUCCAGACUCCUACGGGAGGCAGCAGUGGGGAAUAUUGGACAAUGGGCGAAAGCCUGAUCCAGCCAUGCCGCGUGUGUGAAGAAGGUCUUCGGAUUGUAAAGCACUUUAAGUUGGGAGGAAGGGUAGUAACUUAAUACGUUGCUAUUUUGACGUUACCGACAGAAUAAGCACCGGCUAACUUCGUGCCAGCAGCCGCGGUAAUACGAAGGGUGCAAGCGUUAAUCGGAAUUACUGGGCGUAAAGCGCGCGUAGGUGGUUCAGUAAGUUGGAUGUGAAAUCCCCGGGCUCAACCUGGGAACUGCAUCCAAAACUGCUGAACUAGAGUACGGUAGAGGGUGGUGGAAUUUCCUGUGUAGCGGUGAAAUGCGUAGAUAUAGGAAGGAACACCAGUGGCGAAGGCGACCACCUGGACUGAUACUGACACUGAGGUGCGAAAGCGUGGGAGCAAACAGGAUUAGAUACCCUGGUAGUCCACGCCGUAAACGAUGUCAACUAGCCGUUGGGAGU
RNAcentral lists this ribosomal RNA (770 nucleotides) under Pseudomonas sp. THGR16. RNAcentral's name for it is "bacterial SSU rRNA". It matches the Rfam family "Bacterial small subunit ribosomal RNA", at positions 64 to 830 of the family's 1533-position model. The record is from RNAcentral. Lineage: Bacteria; Pseudomonadati; Pseudomonadota; Gammaproteobacteria; Pseudomonadales; Pseudomonadaceae.